Long non-coding RNA from Sapajus apella (tufted capuchin), 1963 nucleotides. RefSeq lists it as uncharacterized. NCBI's taxonomy places the organism in Eukaryota, Metazoa, Chordata, Mammalia, Primates, Cebidae. The transcript has 2 exons. The record is from RefSeq and is a predicted model, not a curated record.
UCGAGGCUGCAGUGAACCAUGAUUGUACCUGGGCGGCAGGGCUGAGACCCUGCCUGAAAAAAAAAGUUGGCAAAGUGGUAAAUAGUCCAGCAGAGUUAGGACUUGAAGAUUAUACUCCUCACACUCAGAGCAUUGUAAAAUUAUACGCUCUGCUUCUGGGCUGAUUGAGGAGAGACUCAAUCUGUCAGUUUGAGGAGCUGCAGAACAGGAGAUUGGAAGAAAGGAGAUUUUCCUUCUUAAGAUCUGUCCACGUUCCUGCACUUGAAUCUGGCCUUUCACUUUUCUUAUGUCUAACAAUUAAAAAUAGGUUUGAGGAAUCUCUGAAUACCAGUCUAUGUGUCCGCUACUCACAUCUAACGAUACUAGGUUCUCCCUGUGCUGCCCAGGCUGGUCUUGAACUUCUGUCCUCUAGCCGUCCUCCUUCCUCAGCCUCCCAAAGUGCUGGGAGCCACCGCACCCAGCAUCAGACUUGCAUUUUAUGUAAUGAUUACUCGAGUAACAGCCUACAGGCUGGAAUUGAUGGGGAAAAGAUUAAACAAGAAAACCAGUAAAGUGCUGCAGUAGCCCAGUGAGAGGUGGCAAAAGGCUGAGUUAAGCCACAGGAGUGGAGGUUUGGAGGAAGCGAUUAAUUACAAGUCUAUCUGAGAUCAGAUAGGCUGGACUUGGUGCAGCGUGGGUAGGUGGCAUGUGGGAAGAGGACUCUAGGGGACUCUCCAGUUUCUGGCAUGAAAGGAAAGAUGACAGCGUCAUUAAAUUAGAAAGACACUGGAAGGAGAAGUAGAGCUGGGAUGAAACAUCCGUUCCAUUUGGGGCACGUUUUCUUUGAUUCCUUUGGGACAUCAGAUAGAAAUGGCACGGACCUGGAUUUGGAAGUCCAGUAUGGAGAGGCAGAAGUUAGAAACAUGAUUCUCUUCGUCCAUUUUAUUUUCCAUGCAUUAAGUAAACCAAAUCAAGACUCUGAACACUUUCUACCUAUGUAACAGCCGGUGCAGGGAAGAAAACAAGUGUCGUUUAGUUCUAAUAAGGGACACUUCCUUACCAAUAGGGUUGUGUAAAAAUGCAUUUGGGGGGCUGAACAUUAAAUGGUGGCGAAAUUACUGUACCUAUUUAUGCAUCUUAGACGGGCUUGUCUUGAUUUGCAUUUAGAUGAGAAUUCCUUCAGCCCAGAACCGGGACUGUCCCCUAACUCAUAAGCACUUAGAAAAGCAUUAACUUUAACUGGCGAAGUAUCCUUGGUACAAUGGUGACACAAACCUAAUACCAGUAUUAACAGUGUUGCCUUAAUGACUCAGGAGAAAUUAGCCAUUGAAAUGGUGGAAAAGUUUAGAACAAGCUUCCUUUGCCAUCUCUCUGAGAAGGAGCGCAUGCCCUGUUAAUGAAUGACCGCCCAGCCUCUCGCCGUGCUUCAGUAAGCCUGUUUCCAGGGCUUGUGUGGUUUUUCCACGCUUGCGGAGGCUGAGUGCAGGACUCUACAGCAUCGUUAUUCUAAGUCCUGAGUAAGAACGACAGCUGUUCACCAUGGGCAUGAUUACAGGCAGAGGUAUAUUUUACUCAAAAAAAAAAAAAGGAAAUUGAAACAGGUGGUUCAAGGAAAAGCUUUCCAAGGAGCCACACUGAAGAAAUUCUAAUAGAUCUCUACGGCUCUGCCCACGAUUUCCUCUUCACAUGCUCAAUCCAAAGCCAGCGAAAGGCCCGUGCUAGUUCUUUCAAUAAUUGGUCAGGCUAUUCAGUUAUGGUGGUUGGGUCUGAUGAAGCCAUUACUUUCUUUCAUUUGAUUUUUCAAAUCACAUACAUCUAGAGAAGUAUUUGGUUCUCUUUUAAAAACAACAUUCCCCUAAGAUGAAGAAGUUCUGGAGACUGGCCACCCCACAGUGUGAGCAUACUUAAUACUGUUGACUGUCUGCUUAAAAAUGGUGAAGAUGGCAAAUUACGCUAUGUGUAUUUCACCACAAUUCAAACUUUU